UUCCGCUUGAUCCUGCCGGACCCGACUGCUAUCAGAGUGGGACUAAGCCAUGCGAGUCAACAUAGCAAUAUGUGGCAUACGGCUCAGUAACACGUAGUCAACAUGCCCAGGGGACGUGGAUAACCUCGGGAAACUGAGGAUAAACCGCGAUAAGUCACCACUUCUGGAAUGGGUAAUGACUCAAAUCUAUAUGGCCCCUGGAUUGGACUGCGGCCGAUCAGGCUGUUGGUGAGGUAAUGGCCCACCAAACCUGUAACCGGUACGGGCUCUGAGAGGAGGAGCCCGGAGAUGGGCACUGAGACAAGGGCCCAGGCCCUAUGGGGCGCAGCAGGCGCGAAACCUCUGCAAUAGGCGAAAGCUUGACAGGGUUACUCUGAGUGGUUUCCGCUAAGGGAACCUUUUGGCACCUCUACAAAUGGCGCAGAAUAAGGGGUGGGCAAGUCUGGUGUCAGCCGCCGCGGUAAUACCAGCACCCCGAGUGGUCGGGACGAUUAUUGGGCCUAAAGCAUCCGUAGCCGGUCCUGCAAGUCUUCCGUUAAAUCCAGCUGCUCAACAGAUGGGCUGCGGGGGAUACUACAUGGCUAGGAGGCGGGAGAGGCAAGCGGUACUUUAUGGGUAGGGGUAAAAUCCGUUGAUCCAUAGAAGACCACCAGUGGCGAAGGCGGCUUGCCAGAACGCGCUCGACGGUGAGGGAUGAAAGCUGGGGGAGCAAACCGGAUUAGAUACCCGGGGUAGUCCCAGCUGUAAACGAUGCAGACUCGGUGGAUGGGGUUGGCUUCGUGCCAACCCAGUGCCGCAGGGAAGCCGUUAAGUCUGCCGCCUGGGGAGUACGG
This 833-nucleotide ribosomal RNA is filed under the name uncultured archaeon. RNAcentral's name for it is "bacterial SSU rRNA". It matches the Rfam family "Archaeal small subunit ribosomal RNA", at positions 1 to 840 of the family's 1478-position model. The record is from RNAcentral.